ACCAUUUACUUAUCAGCCAUGUACCCUCUAAUAAAUUACUCAAUCUCUCAAUAUCAAUCUCUUCAUCUGGGAUAAAGAUACCUAUUUCCUUAAGUUGUAGGUUUGUGUGUAUACUGUAGGAGGUAGGGAAGAAGUUGGAAUUCAAUGAGAUGUGCAUGGAAAGCUCUUUACAUUGUGCCUGGCAUCAAUUUAUUACACAUACUGAUAUUUGUUGAACACCUACUCUGUGCCUGGUGUUGUUCUGGGUACUGGGGACAAAUGGAUACCUAUCCCUAUGGAGCUUAUAGUCUAAAGGUUUAAGGAAUACAGGAUAGUAGAAAUAAGACUGGUAUUGAAGAGAGCAGUUCACAAUGCCAGAGAAAUGAAUUCCCUAAAGAACUAUAUGAAGGGUCAGCAAAAGAAGACCACCCAACUCUGAUGAGUUUGGUGUCUCUGAUGAGACCAGUGCAGGGCAGCUGCUGAAGUUAAGAGGAAAUGCCUCUGAUUAAAUACCUGAUUGUUUGCAUAAUAUAGGCCUAACUUUGGUAGCCUAACCUGAAAGAUGGCCUUCUGAAAUGAAUUUAACUGAACUGACCUAUCGUCAGGACUGAGUCUAGUUCGAUGAGACUGAACAAUCUACUGGCUCAACUUCUGGACGAUGAAAUUUCUUGAGGAAAUUUCAAAGGCAGGACUGUGGAGGAGCAAAAUGUACCACCCCAAAAUGUGUUUCUCUGGCUCAACAAGGAGGAAUUUGUGUACUCAUGGGGGGAAAAUGUUGCUUCUAUGAAUAAAAUCUGUUAAAAGAUUAGUACUUUUCAGCAAAUAAACUAAUUUUACCCAUUA
Molecule: long non-coding RNA, 822 nt
Organism: Felis catus (domestic cat)
Lineage: Eukaryota; Metazoa; Chordata; Mammalia; Carnivora; Felidae
Exons: 3
Source: RefSeq, a predicted model, not a curated record